This 72-nucleotide transfer RNA is filed under the name Ornithorhynchus anatinus (platypus). It matches the Rfam family "tRNA". Rfam says of the family: Transfer RNA (tRNA) molecules are approximately 80 nucleotides in length. The record is from Rfam by way of RNAcentral. Lineage: Eukaryota; Metazoa; Chordata; Mammalia; Monotremata; Ornithorhynchidae.
AGCAGUGUGGCCUAGGGGAAAGGGCACCGGCCUGUAAGUCAGAGGGCCUGGGUUCUAAUUCCGGCUCUGCCA